This 321-nucleotide ribosomal RNA is filed under the name uncultured eukaryote. Its description in RNAcentral is "partial 18S ribosomal RNA". It matches the Rfam family "Eukaryotic small subunit ribosomal RNA", at positions 1470 to 1796 of the family's 1831-position model. The record is from RNAcentral.
CCCUUAGAUGUUCUGGGCCGCACGCGCGCUACACUGAUACGCUCAACGAGCUCCUUGGCCGAAAGGUCCGGGUAAUCUUUGAAAUCGUAUCGUGAUGGGGAUAGAACAUUGCAAUUUUUGUUCUUCAACGAGGAAUGCCUAGUAAGCGCGAGUCAUCAUCUCGCGUUGAUUACGUCCCUGCCCUUUGUACACACCGCCCGUCGCUCCUACCGAUUGAACGUUUUAGUGAGGCAUUUGGACCGACGCAUCUCAGUUUAACCGCUGGUUUGUGUUGGAAAGACUUCCAAACUUGAGCGUUUAGAGGAAGUAAAAGUCGUAACA